Long non-coding RNA from Lycium barbarum (goji berry), 1321 nucleotides. RefSeq lists it as uncharacterized. The record is from RefSeq and is a predicted model, not a curated record. The transcript is spliced from 4 exons. Lineage: Eukaryota; Viridiplantae; Streptophyta; Magnoliopsida; Solanales; Solanaceae.
CCCUAAGCCUUCAACUAGCAAACGUUGAGCCCCAACGGUAUGAAAAGCCCUUUUUGGCUAGCUUUUGGCAUGCCUCUAUUCGUCUAGAGGUUUGUUCUCCUAUUUCAGAAAGGAAUUAAAUUCACCCUUGUCUUCUUCUCUUUUGCAAUUUUUUUUUAUUUCUCCUUUCUUUGGUGAAAAUUCGGAUUUCAAACACGUUUCAACAAAUAUUCAGUUUUGAAGUCCGUCCCAUAUCGAAUUUUAACCUAAAAUUUGAACAUUUUGGGGUUCUAUAUAGAGAAUCCCAUUCUCUUUAUUUUCAGAUGGAGGUUUUUUUGACAACCACAAAAAAUAGGUUUUCACACCCCAAGUUCUGAACUUUUCAAUUUUUUAGCUUUAAACAAGAAAUUUUCUCUUGUAAGCUGAGUUUUUGAAUCAUCGGAACAAGUUAAAAAAAAAUUGAGUUCUAGUCAGUUCGUCAUUAGUAAAAGGUCGAAGGUGAUCGAUUCAACCCCCGCGCUGCUCGACAAAAAGGUUGCAGUUUGUCAUUACACUUUGGAGUUGGUUGGUGCACUGUUUUGAGACCCUUGAUGCUGCCAUGUUUUUUGGAGAAACAGAUAAGGCAAAAUGAUGGUUUUUGAAUAAAUUUAUUGCUGCAAAUUUUCAGCAAAGCUGAUGCUGUACUAGGCUAUUUUUGACACUUAUUUGGGAUGAGAUUGUCACUGGCAUUUUUGCUUCCCUGUUGCUACUUAUUGUUGUUGAGCUGCUAUAACUUUGUUUAAGUUGUUAUUGUCUCCUGAGAUCUUCUGCCUUUGUGGUUGGCUGCUAUAGUUUGACACUUCAUUUGGGGAAUGAUUAGUUGCUGAACUUUGACACCCUCGAUGUUGUCUCUAUACUUGGUAACUGGCAGCUACAUCUUCCAAAACAAGAACUGACGCUACCUUGAGAAAAUCUUGAACCAACUGGCUAUUGAAAUAUGUUGCUAAGCAACUGAUGAGGAUAAGGUACUAUUGGGCAGCAUGUACGAGUUAUAAUACGACUAAACGCUAAAGGUACAGAAGCUCGUUUCGGAGAUCCGCCAGCCUAGGAUAUCUAUUCAGCUGUUUUGAAGUGCUCCUUUGUUUCGGAACCUAGCUUUGUGGUAUAGAUCCUCUUUGUUGUAUAUCUAUGUGUUUGUUCAGGGUACGGCGGGGCCCUGUCCCGUCAUAUGAUACUGUUAGUACUCUUAGAGGUCUGUAGACAUAUGUGUGGGUCUGUAUAUAGUUGUUGUUUUGCUAUGUAGACAUGACUUAUAUUUUGGGGCGUACCCAUUCGUAGUGGCAGCUUUGUCGACUUGUGUAUA